Molecule: transfer RNA, 66 nt
Filed under: Marmota monax (woodchuck)
Lineage: Eukaryota; Metazoa; Chordata; Mammalia; Rodentia; Sciuridae
Description: tRNA.Ala
Source: RNAcentral
GGUUAUGGCUCAGCGAUAGAGUGCUCGCCUAGCACGUGCGAGGCCUGGGUUCAAUCUUCAGCACCA